GCCUUCCUCUAGCAGGUCAGAAAGAGAUAAUUCUCCAUGAAUUUCCUGUGUUUCUGUACCUCCGGAGAAAAAACACUGGAGCUGUCCCACACCCGGUGCUCCUCCAGCCCUCACGGGUUAAUUAAUUAACAGGGGGCAGUUAAUGCCAAGGGGCUCCCCUGCCCCAAGGCAGCCACCAGAGAGGAUGAGGGGGGCUCGUCCCGUGUCCCCUCACAGCCCUGGCUCUGCCGUCCCCGCUCCCGCACAGCCAAGGUGGAGCCGAGGCCUCGGCAUGCCGAGCUGCCUGCACUGUGAAACCCACAGGAACUUCAUAUCUUUGAAACCUCUCCCACUCUGUCAGGCUUGGCUGGAGUUUGCAUGCGGUUAUUAGAGAAGAGGACAGG
Hirundo rustica (Barn swallow) is the source of this 383-nucleotide long non-coding RNA. RefSeq lists it as uncharacterized. The transcript is spliced from 3 exons. The record is from RefSeq and is a predicted model, not a curated record. NCBI's taxonomy places the organism in Eukaryota, Metazoa, Chordata, Aves, Passeriformes, Hirundinidae.